RNAcentral lists this ribosomal RNA (440 nucleotides) under uncultured bacterium. RNAcentral describes it as "partial 16S ribosomal RNA". It matches the Rfam family "Bacterial small subunit ribosomal RNA", at positions 338 to 795 of the family's 1533-position model. The record is from RNAcentral.
CCUACGGGUGGCAGCAGUGGGGGAUAUUGCACAAUGGGGGAAACCCUGAUGCAGCGACGCCGCGUGGGUGAAGAAGCGCCUCGGCGCGUAAAGCUCUGUCAGCAGGGAAGAAAAUGACGGUACCUGAAGAAGAAGCCCCGGCUAACUACGUGCCAGCAGCCGCGGUAAUACGUAGGGGGCAAGCGUUAUCCGGAUGUACUGGGGGUAAAGGGGGCGCAGACGGCGAUGCAAGCCAGGAGUGAAAGCCCGGGGCCCAACCCCGGGACGGCUCUUGGAACUGCGUGGCUAGAGUGCAGGAGGGGCAGGCGGAAGUCCUGGUGUAGCGGUGAAAUGCGUAGAUAUCAGGAGGAACACCGGUGGCGAAGGCGGCCUGCUGGACUGCAACUGACGUUGAGGCCCGAAAGCGUGGGGAGCAAACAGGAUUAGAUACCCCAGUAGUC